This 446-nucleotide ribosomal RNA is filed under the name uncultured bacterium. RNAcentral's name for it is "partial 16S ribosomal RNA". It matches the Rfam family "Bacterial small subunit ribosomal RNA", at positions 338 to 795 of the family's 1533-position model. The record is from RNAcentral.
CCUACGGGCGACAGCAGUCGAGAAUCAUUCACAAUGGGCGAAAGACUGAUGCUGCGACGCCGCGUGGGGGAAUGAAGCUCUUCGGAUUGUAAACUCCUGUCAUGUGGGAGCAAAUUAAAAAGAUAGUACCACAAGAGGAAGAGACGACUAACUCUGUGCCAGCAGCCGCGGUACUACAGAGGUCUCAAGCGUUGUUCGGAAUCACUGGGCGUAAAGCGUGCGUAGGCUGUUUCGUAAGUCGUGUGUGAAAGGCGCGGGCUCAACCCGCGGAUGGCACAUGAUACUGCGAGACUAGAGUAAUGGAGGGGGAAGCGGAAUUCUCGGUGUAGCAGUGAAAUGCGUAGAGAUCGAGAGGAACACUCGUGGCGAAGGCGGGUUCCUGGACAUUAACUGACGCUGAGGCACGAAGGCCAGGGGAGCGAAAGGGAUUAGAUACCCUUGUAGUC